RNAcentral lists this ribosomal RNA (381 nucleotides) under uncultured bacterium. RNAcentral's name for it is "bacterial SSU rRNA". It matches the Rfam family "Bacterial small subunit ribosomal RNA", at positions 524 to 902 of the family's 1533-position model. The record is from RNAcentral.
UACAGAGGGUGCAAGCGUUAAUCGGAAUUACUGGGCGUAAAGGGUGCGUAGGUGGUUGUAUGAGUUGUUUGUGAAAUUUCCGGGCUUAACCUGGGAGCUGCGAACGAUACUGUAUGACUAGAGUAGGUUAGAGGGAAGUGGAAUUUCCGGUGUAGCGGUGAAAUGCGUAGAUAUCGGAAGGAACACCAGUGGCGAAGGCGGCUUCCUGGGACCAUACUGACACUGAAGCACGAAAGCGUGGGGGAUCAAACAGGAUUAGAUACCCUGGUAGUCCACGCUGUAAACGAUGAGAACUAGAUGUUAGGAGACGUAAGUCACUUAGUAUCGAAGCUAACGCGUUAAGUUCUCCGCCUGGGGAGUACGGCCGCAAGGCUAAAACUC